Molecule: ribosomal RNA, 468 nt
Filed under: uncultured bacterium
Lineage: Bacteria
Description: partial 16S ribosomal RNA
Rfam family: Bacterial small subunit ribosomal RNA
Source: RNAcentral
GACGAACGCUGGCGGCGUGCUUAACACAUGCAAGUCGAACGGAAAGGCCCUGCUUUUGUGGGGUGCUCGAGUGGCGAACGGGUGAGUAACACGUGAGUAACCUGCCCUUGACUUUGGGAUAACUUCAGGAAACUGGGGCUAAUACCGGAUAGGAGCUCCUGCUGCAUGGUGGUGGUUGGAAAGUUUCGGCGGUUGGGGAUGGACUCGCGGCUUAUCAGCUUGUUGGUGGGGUAGUGGCUUACCAAGGCUUUGACGGGUAGCCGGCCUGGGAGGGUGACCGGCGACAUUGGGACUGAGAUACGGCCCAGUCUCGUACGGGAGGCAGCAGUGGGGAAUAUUGCACAGUGGGCGGGAGCCUGAUGCAGCAGCGCCGCGUGCGGAAUGACGGCCUUCGGGUUGUAAACCGCUUUCGCCUGUGACGAAGCGUGAGUGACGGUAAUGGGUAAAGAAGCACCGGCUAACUACGUG